This 284-nucleotide long non-coding RNA is filed under the name Vigna radiata. Its description in RNAcentral is "long non-coding RNA (VRAD_LNC006489)". Lineage: Eukaryota; Viridiplantae; Streptophyta; Magnoliopsida; Fabales; Fabaceae. The record is from RNAcentral.
AGAAACCAAAAGAAAUAGAGGAGCAAUGGGGAACAAGUGUAAACACAGUNAAAUCACACCCAAAACCUCUAAUUCAAUCCUCUUCUUGACUCCAUUAUUCACACAAAUUUUUUUAACUUUUCUCAUUUUUCUGUAUUUUUUUAUUUAUUUAUUUUUUCUUUUCUCAUCUUGUCUCUUUUCUUUUCUCUCUUAUCAGAACACAACUCCGAGAGACAAGACACACAUAUAUUUACAACACAAAUAAAAAGAGGAGGAACCAACUAGCCAAUUCAUCUGAAUCUCCC